This 19-nucleotide small RNA is filed under the name Arabidopsis thaliana (thale cress). Its description in RNAcentral is "AGO1_4158". The record is from RNAcentral. Lineage: Eukaryota; Viridiplantae; Streptophyta; Magnoliopsida; Brassicales; Brassicaceae.
UUCUCCUACCUUGUCUAUC